RNAcentral lists this ribosomal RNA (253 nucleotides) under uncultured bacterium. RNAcentral's name for it is "partial 16S ribosomal RNA". It matches the Rfam family "Bacterial small subunit ribosomal RNA", at positions 524 to 776 of the family's 1533-position model. The record is from RNAcentral.
UACAGAGGUCCCGAGCGUUGUUCGGAUUCAUUGGGCGUAAAGGGUGCGUAGGCGGCGGGGUAAGUUUGAUGUGAAAUCCCGGGGCUCAACCCUGGAAUUGCAUUGAAUACUACCUUGCUAGAGUACUGGAGAGGAAACUGGAAUUUACGGUGUAGCAGUGAAAUGCGUAGAGAUCGUAAGGAAGACCAGUGGCGAAGGCGAGUUUCUGGACGGUAACUGACGCUGAGGCACGAAGGCCAGGGGAGCAAACGGG